AUACGUAGGGAGCGAGCGUUGUCCGGAAUUACUGGGUGUAAAGGGAGCGUAGGCGGGAGUGCAAGUCAGAUGUGAAAUACAUGGGCUCAACCCAUGGGCUGCAUUUGAAACUGCAUUUCUUGAGUGCAGUAGAGGUAAGCGGAAUUCCUGGUGUAGCGGUGAAAUGCGUAGAUAUCAGGAGGAACACCGGUGGCGAAGGCGGCUUACUGGGCUUUUACUGACGCUGAGGCUCGAAAGCGUGGGGAGCAAACAGGAUUAGAUACCCUGGUAGUCCACGCUGUAAACGAUGAUUACUAGGCGUGGGGGGACUGACCCCUUCCGUGCCGCAGUUAACACAAUAAGUAAUCCACCUGGGGAGUACGGCCGCAAGGUUGAAACUCAAAUGAAUUGACGGGG
This 396-nucleotide ribosomal RNA is filed under the name uncultured bacterium. Its description in RNAcentral is "partial 16S ribosomal RNA". It matches the Rfam family "Bacterial small subunit ribosomal RNA", at positions 523 to 918 of the family's 1533-position model. The record is from RNAcentral.